Long non-coding RNA from Gallus gallus (chicken), 3969 nucleotides. RefSeq lists it as uncharacterized. The transcript has 3 exons. Lineage: Eukaryota; Metazoa; Chordata; Aves; Galliformes; Phasianidae. The record is from RefSeq and is a predicted model, not a curated record.
ACCUGUAUCUUGACUUUUACACAUAACUUACGAAUGUCAAUACUUAGAACAGUUUAGAUAAUGAUCAGAAAAUAAUGCAAAUUUUAGGGCGGGUUAUCUGAAAGAAAAUCAAGAUGUGAAUUUUUCCCAAGGAUCUUAGCCUACAGUACACUCCUUGCAUACAUUCAGCCUUUUGGUCAUACUUAUAUUUUGCAGAAAAAGUAGAUUUGAUAAUAUUUUCUUCAUUCCUUUUUUCCCCAUCUUCUGAAACUUCAACUCACAUCAGCAAAAUAACAUGAUCCACUGGGGAAGUUGUUGUAUUUUUCCAUUGUCUAUAAGCUAGAGAAAAAUUGAAAUCAAAUCUGAAAUUAAAAAUUUGGCAGAAUAUGAAUUGAAGUUAGUAUUAACUAGAAACUUCAGCACAAAGUAUGUUUGCCUGAUCAAAGCAACAUUCUAUAUCCCAUGGAAGCUUUUGAAGAAUAUUUAGAAAAAAAACAAGUGGGAAAAAUCUCUCCGUGCCAGAUUUUAGGCUGUUUUUUAAACAUACAUCAAGGCAAAGCCAUAAAGCAGCCAAUUGCCUGUAUCUUCUGCCAAGAGCAGCAUUCCCCUCUCUCGCUCGUUUUCCUCUCCUCCUCCCUCAGAAUGAAUGAGAUCAAGAUCAAGAAAGCUGUGUCAGGCUCUUGAAGCACUUUUCAAGUUUGCAGAAAUACUGUGCUCAGAUGAGUACACACACACAGAGUUUUAGGUGUAACAGGCUGAUCUGCCCAAGUCCCUUUAAAUGUCUCUGCCACUACCACAACAAGGAGCAAAUGCAGGAUGAAGGAGGUGGCAGCACCAAUAAGUGAUCAAGAGCAGCAGACAAUUUGGUAGCCAACAGCAAGCUAAAAAGACAUGGGGUCACAGAAGGAGGGGAGAGAGAGGGUAGCAUUUGCUUUGGGCGCCAGAAAUGCCUCCAUACAUCUCUGUGCUAAUAUUAUGAUUAUUACUUUGGCAGAAGCCUUUUUGUUUUUUUUUCCAAGCUGAUCCUGUUCCCCCCUUGUGCAGGUAUUGAGUCUGCACUUGGCCAAAAAAGCAAAAGAAGCGAGGCCAUCGGUUUUAGAUUUGCUGUGCUCUCUCCAAGAUACAUAAGAUGAGAAAGGAGGGGAAAGUAGGAGUGGUGGAGGGGAAAUGAGGAAGAAAAACAUCUUAGCGGUCACAACCUGGGUAAGGACCUUGACUUUUCUAAUACUUUUAGUCCAUAGUGAAUGUGGCAAGGAUGAAGAGAAAAUAAGUUUUUAAUUCCAAGUUGUCUUUGCUGUAAAUAACUGAUAUAAAUAACUCUGUUCUGCCUGAAGCUGUCUGAAGACAUUAGGACAGCCUCCGUACUAGAAUGUUUAUUGGAGGCAGCUACAGUCAAAUCCUACUCCUCUCUCUCACUUUUCCCUCUUCUUUCAAACCACAGUACAUAUAUCACUGAAGACCUUUUAGAGCUGUCACUAGGUUAUGUCAGCCAAAGCCCACUGCACAUCACAUGCUGAAUCAGCAGCCUCCACACAGCGCUGCCCGUGUCUGGCACCAGUGCCCAAGGGCAGCUACACACUUCUAGAUUCUCCAUAGCCUGAAAAGCACCUUACUAAUACUGAAAGUUUUGCUUUCGAGCAGAAUUAUUCCUUCAGGCCCCUCCCAUUCCUCAGACCCUUUCCAAUUGUUCCUUUAUUCCACUCAAAAUAAAGCCCUGAACACUGAGAUAUUUCUGCAUCCCUGCUGCAGUUGCAAGCCCCUGCAAUAUGAUCCUUCUCAGCACAUUUCCCUGAGACUCCCUAGCAUGUAUAAGCAUGCCAAAAUAUGAGGCAGUGAGGGUACAAAUAAAAGUAGAAGCUGAAUUUGUGCAUUUCAGUCAAGCAUGUUGUGAUUUAGAUUAUAAAUUUAAGCCAUUCAGUCUUAAAUUAUCAUUCCAGGAGCCUGUAUUUCCAGUUUGUAUUUUUUAAUUUCCUAUUCACUGCUUGCUUUCCCCUGAUAACCUUUCACAAAUUCUUUGAACAUUUCAUUAAUUUCACCCUUUUUUCAUCUCAUACUAUUAUUCUGACAUUUGUUUUCAUAUUUACCUCCCUCAUAAACCUUUUUUUUUUAUCAUACAUCUUCUUCCUCCUUCUGCUCAAAACUCCUAACAGUGUUUCACACAAUUCUUCCUCUUUGUAAAGCCUCUUUUCUGCCAGCCUCCAUUUGCUUGUAUCUGAAACCACUACAUUCACUUGUCCUGUUUAGGGCCUAGAUCCUGAAACCCAUCUUAAAUCAGAAAAACACUUAAGCAAGUAUUUAAUACUGGGACUCAUUUUGGCAUGAAUUGCAAGGUAAGCAUUUACCUCACAUUUCCUAUCACAGAAUCAAAGAAUCAUAGAAUGGCCUGGGUUGAAAAGGACCACAAUGAUCAUUUAGUUUCAACCCCCCUGCUAUGUCCAGGGUCACCAACCACUAGACCAGGCUGCCCAGAGCCAUAUCCAGCCUGGCCUUGUAAGCCUCUAUGGAUAUAGAAUCAUAUCAUAGAAUGUCCUGGGUUAAAAAUGAUCAUCUAGUUUCAACGUUUAGCUUCUUUGCCAGAUACAUGUAGGCUCUAUAUGUGUGUAUGUAUGUGUGUGCGUAUAUACACAUACAAAAAAUCAUAUAUGUAAGCAAAGAGUGCUUCUCAAAUCUUCUUGUAUUUAGAUGAUGGCUGCCAGCACAGAUGGCUCUUGAAGCUCUGGGAAGAGGCUGAGCUUCACAGAACUGCUUCUUGGUGGGAACCUGCAGAAAUGGAUGGCAUGCCCAUAAGCCCCAUGGGCACACAGAUAGAGAACACCAUCAGGUUGCACAGAGAGCAUAACCUUUACAGCAAAGAGCUUUCAAAGGAUUUCCAUCCACUGCUACUAAUGCUAUUUCACAACUUUUGGAAGAGAAGAAAUUGCAUCAUAUGGGAUCUGGAAAAAGCUAAUUCCAGCUGAAAUGCAUUUGGCACAACAUUGAAUGACUUAGCUGGAGCUCCUCAGUGACAAAAACCAUGAUACAGGAAAGAGAGACGAGAUUACAGUUCCUUCCUCUGCCUUUUCACAAGAGUCUUUCAAGCAUGUAUGUCUGAUCUGAAGCAUGCUUGAUGACGCUGUCCUCUCAUACUUCACACUUUGCAUCCCACAGUGUCACCUCUCAUUCUUCUGAGUACCCAACUACCUUCUAAUCCUGCUUUCAGCAAUCCCAUCUGCAUAAGAACAUGAAAAUAGUCUUUUUGCACAAAUUUAUGAGAGAAAUACCAUAAUCUGACUUUAUGAAAGUGGGUGUUAAAUUGUCUUGUGAUAGUUAUGCAUUUUUUUUUGCUUACGUUGUUUCCAGAAGAGGGAAUGGAGAGAUGAAGAACGUGUCCAGGAAUAAAGACAGAAGUGGGAAAAGUUUUUAAGGACAUUCUCCUAUAUUUCUGCCGCAGUAUUGCACUUUCACACCAGCAAAUAUGAUUCAUCCACUUUAUGUAUUUGUGACUAGAUGUGAAAUUAUCCCUCCUUCUUUUUCUUGUAAUGUUUUUCUUCAUUUCAAUAUCAGAACAACGUAUCAUCACACCUUUUUGUUUGUUUGUUUGUUUGUUUGCUUUUUUCCCUGUACAUGUACACCAUAAGCAUUUUCAAUAGCGCAGGUAUCUUUACAAGAUUUUGUUUCACAAAGAGAUUGUAUACUUAAUUAAAGAGAAAACAACAGACUUGCAUACAGCAACACAUCCACACACAUCCACUCACAAAACAAUAAAUGAGAGUAAGUCUUCUGUGACAGCACUAUUUUCCACUGUCUAGAUGAUUAGAGAGUCCAGUGCUUUUUAUCAAAGACAACCUCUUUCUCUCCUUUCGAGCUUUAAAUAAAUACUUGUGCUAAUUGCAGAUACUAGCAAAAUGCAGCACCAAAACUGGCAUGGAUGUGAAAGGGAAUAAACAAGCUAUGGUAGAUUAAACAUUGUUUUUCUGUCACUGUCAGAAUGUAUAAUAAAGAGUCCCAUGU